UUCUUAUCAAGAGAGGCGGAGGGACUGGCCCUGGGAAACCUCGGCAACGGACUCUUCUCAUGGAGAGUGCUGUGCCAAAUCCAGCAAGCGAUAUGCUUGGCAGAUAAGAA
This 110-nucleotide non-coding RNA is filed under the name Thermoactinomyces vulgaris. RNAcentral's name for it is "SAM-I sequence". It matches the Rfam family "SAM riboswitch aptamer (S box leader)". From Rfam's summary of the family: The SAM riboswitch is found upstream of a number of genes which code for proteins involved in methionine or cysteine biosynthesis in Gram-positive bacteria. The SAM riboswitch acts at the level of transcription termination control. Lineage: Bacteria; Bacillati; Bacillota; Bacilli; Caryophanales; Thermoactinomycetaceae. The record is from RNAcentral.